ACUGUGGCAGUCAAGUAUUAGCAAAGUUAUUUCAACCUUUGAUGUCAGUUUUUCCUGUCACCACAAAACAAAAUUCACCAUGUGUUGGUCAGUUCACCUAUUAACAAUGAACACAAGCCGAGUUUAGACUGUCAUGAGACAAGCU
RNAcentral lists this non-coding RNA (145 nucleotides) under Mesitornis unicolor (brown roatelo). Lineage: Eukaryota; Metazoa; Chordata; Aves; Mesitornithiformes; Mesitornithidae. The record is from Rfam by way of RNAcentral.